CCUCCUGCAAGCACACAGAUCCUCUCUUCUCUCCAUGUAGUCACUACUUGGGGAAGGGGAAUGGGUGGUGUCAGCAAUUCAAGACUGAUUUCUUUUCCCUCUUCAGCGCCCCUUUCCUUGAUAUGAUGUUAAAACCAGAACAAGAAACAGAUCAAGGAUGAGGCAGAGUAACAACAGUUGGGAAGAAGAUACAGUUUUGGGCCAAGGGAAAAGAGCUUCAUUAGCAUAUUUGUCAAGCAGAUGUGAAAUGAGGCAGAAAACUACUAGAACAAUUGGGAGAAAUCUAGAAUGUGAAGUUCCAGCACAAACUUAGAUGACUUCUAACUAUGUGAAGGUUUGAACAGCAACUUCUGACAUAGAAAAUAACCACAGCAAAAAAAAGCACUAACAAGUGACAGAUGUGGUUGACUCAUCUCCUUCUUCCUUCGACUCUCUAAUGAGCAAUUAAAUAGCCUGAAGCAGAACAAUCAAGAGGUCUGGCAAAUCCACACACUAGAUGACUGCCUUUUCACUUCACUGUGUCCUCAUGUGGAAGAGAGGAGAAGAGAGGAGAGGAGGGGAAGGGAGGGGAGGGGAGGGGAGGAGAGAGGCAAACUCUCUUGUGUUUCUUCUUACAAAGCACAAAUGCCAUUAUGAGGGCCCCACCCUCAGGACCUCAUCUAAUCCUAAUUUCCUCCCAAAAUUAAAUCUCAAAUGUCAUCACA
Molecule: long non-coding RNA, 704 nt
Filed under: Pongo abelii (Sumatran orangutan)
Lineage: Eukaryota; Metazoa; Chordata; Mammalia; Primates; Hominidae
Description: lincRNA
Source: RNAcentral